This 483-nucleotide ribosomal RNA is filed under the name uncultured bacterium. RNAcentral describes it as "partial 16S ribosomal RNA". It matches the Rfam family "Bacterial small subunit ribosomal RNA", at positions 30 to 506 of the family's 1533-position model. The record is from RNAcentral.
AUUGAACGCUGGCGGCAGGCCUAACACAUGCAAGUCGAGCGGUAGAGCGAAGCUUGCUUCUCUUGAGAGCGGCGGACGGGUGAGUAAUGCCUAGGAAUCUGCCUGGUAGUGGGGGAUAACGUUCGGAAACGGACGCUAAUACCGCAUACGUCCUACGGGAGAAAGCAGGGGACCUUCGGGCCUUGCGCUAUCAGAUGAGCCUAGGUCGGAUUAGCUAGUUGGUGGGGUAAUGGCUCACCAAGGCGACGAUCCGUAACUGGUCUGAGAGGAUGAUCAGUCACACUGGAACUGAGACACGGUCCAGCCUCCUACGGGAGGCAGCAGUGGGGAAUAUUGGACAAUGGGCGAAAGCCUGAUCCAGCCAUGCCGCGUGUGUGAAGAAGGUCUUCGGAUUGUAAAGCACUUUAAGUUGGGAGGAAGGGCAGUAAAUUAAUACUUUGCUGUUUGGACGUUACCGACAGAAUAAGCACCGGCUAACUCUGU